Molecule: ribosomal RNA, 253 nt
Filed under: uncultured bacterium
Lineage: Bacteria
Description: partial 16S ribosomal RNA
Rfam family: Bacterial small subunit ribosomal RNA
Source: RNAcentral
UACGGGGGGGGCAAGCGUUGUUCGGAAUUACUGGGCGUAAAGGGCUCGUAGGCGGCCAACUAAGUCAUACGUGAAAUCCCUCGGCUUAACCGGGGAACUGCGUCUGAUACUGGAUGGCUUGAGUUUGGGAGAGGGAUGCGGAAUUCCAGGUGUAGCGGUGAAAUGCGUAGAUAUCUGGAGGAACACCGGUGGCGAAGGCGGCAUCCUGGACCAACACUGACACUGAGGAGCGAAAGCCAGGGGAGCAAACGGG